RNAcentral lists this unclassified non-coding RNA (1349 nucleotides) under uncultured Neocallimastigales. Its description in RNAcentral is "partial contains internal transcribed spacer 1, 5.8S ribosomal RNA, internal transcribed spacer 2, and large subunit ribosomal RNA". The stretch from base 593 to 1349 matches the Rfam family "Eukaryotic large subunit ribosomal RNA", at positions 1 to 617 of the family's 3401-position model. Lineage: Eukaryota; Fungi; Neocallimastigomycota; Neocallimastigomycetes; Neocallimastigales. The record is from RNAcentral.
AAAAUAAUCCUACCCUUUGUGAAUUUUGUUUGUUUGAAUAAUUUUUUUUUUAAAAAAUUAUUGGAGUCUUUCCCUUUAGAGUUUGCUUUUGAGUUUGUAAAAGAAUUCGAAAACAUCUAAAGGGGAUGGUCAAUAAUUUUUUUUGAAAAAAGACAUUUUUUAAAAUUAAACUUUUUGUAUUCAUUUGUCUAAAAAUUAUUUUUAUAAUAUAAAAACAACUUUUGACAAUGGAUCUCUUGGUUCUCGCAACGAUGAAGAACGCAGCAAAAUGCGAUAAGUAGUGUGAAUUGCAGAAUACGUGAAUCAUCGAAUCUUUGAACGCAUAUUGCACUUUUUAGUUUACUAAAAAAGUAUGUCUGUUUGAGUAUCAGUAAAAUAUUCUCAUAAAAAUCAUUGUGUAUUUUUAUGGUUAUGAGUGUUUUACAACGAUACAAGUUGUUUCACUUUAAAUUUUUUUUAAUAUUGAAAUUUUUCUAAUUUUAAUAAUUAAAAUUGGAUAAAAUUUUCCCGUCAAAAGGAAUAACCUAAACAAUUUUAAAUGAUUAAUUUUAGCAAAAUUUUCGAAAAAAGGAAAAUUUUUAUUAAAAUAACUUGAUCUUAAAUCAGAUAAGAGUACCCGCUGAACUUAAGCAUAUCAAUAAGCGGAGGAAAAGAAACUAACAAGGAUUCCCUUAGUAACGGCGAGUGAAGCGGGAAGAGCUCAAAUUUGAAAUCUUCAAGGUUUUACCUUGACGAAUUGUAGUUUAAAGAAGUGUUUUCUGCUGAAGUUUUGGUAAAAGUUCUUUGGAAUAGGACAUCAUAGAGGGUGAGAAUCCCGUAUUUGACCAUUAUUUUCAGCUUUGUGAUACACUUUCAAAGAGUCGGAUUGUUUGGGAAUGCAGUCCAAAAUGGGCGGUAAAUUUCAUCUAAAGCUAAAUAUUGGCGAGAGACCGAUAGCGAACAAGUACCGUGAGGGAAAGAUGAAAAGAACUUUGAAAAGAGAGUUAAACAGUACGUGAAAUUGUCAAAAGGGAAGCGUUUGACACCAGUGUUGUUUUCUCGAAAAUCAAUUAAAAAUGGCUCGAUUUUGUAUUGCUGAGACCUUAAAAGCUCACUGUACAUUUUUCGUGUCUUUUUUAAUGCACUUCUCGUUUAACAAGUCAACAUCAGUUUCUUUUGUUGUAAAAGGGUCAUUGGAAGGUGGCUUUCUUUUCGGAGAAAGUGUUUAUAGCCUUUGGCCUCUGCAAUCGAGAGACUGAGGUCUGCAGCGUAGACUCUUCGGGGUUAGAUACAUUUGUGCUAAGUUAUAGCUUUUUAUAGUCAACUUGUUGACUAUAAUUAGCCUUGUAGCUUACUCGCUUAUGCUAUUU